UCCCAGGUAGCUCAGCUGGUAAAGAAUCUGCCUGCAAUGCAGGAGACCCAGGUUCGAUUCCUGGGUUGGGAA
This 72-nucleotide transfer RNA is filed under the name Bos taurus (domestic cattle). It matches the Rfam family "tRNA". Rfam says of the family: Transfer RNA (tRNA) molecules are approximately 80 nucleotides in length. Their secondary structure includes four short double-helical elements and three loops (D, anti-codon, and T loops). RNAcentral also lists the same sequence under 4 other names. The record is from Rfam by way of RNAcentral. Lineage: Eukaryota; Metazoa; Chordata; Mammalia; Artiodactyla; Bovidae.